RNAcentral lists this long non-coding RNA (2668 nucleotides) under Zea mays. RNAcentral's name for it is "long non-coding RNA (ZMAY_LNC000356)". The record is from RNAcentral. Lineage: Eukaryota; Viridiplantae; Streptophyta; Magnoliopsida; Poales; Poaceae.
UUCUUACUUAUCUCCAUAUUUGUUGUUUACGUAUAGUAACACCUGGGGUGUUACAUGUUUAGUACAUUCAAACGCUUAACACAUGGUACGACACAUUAAUCCUUAUUCCAAUUCCAUUCCAAGGACAAGGCAUCCCCUAGGGAUCCAUGUCCACAGACAGUCAUAAUCCCAUUGUAAAAAUGAAUACAACCAAUUCUUGACCUCAUGUGAGUGUGUCACACCCGGAUUUAAGGGAUAAAGCCGGGUGCAUCUCAUAUGUGCGCCAACGAAGAACAUCACAUAUAAUGACAAAGUGUAUAGACAUAAAUGUCACAAAUAUCAUUAUUACAUAGAGGAAGUCUUACAAAAAUAAAUGAGAGCAAUAAAGAAAACUAAGUAUUAUUCCUUGGCGCCAUAAAGCUGACUGGGAGACGCCACCUAGAUAAGCUCGUACUUUCGUUGUAGGGCUCCUCCUGGACCUUCUGUUCUUCUCCUGUGGUGGGGGUUAUAUAUCGCAAGGGUGAGCUCACAAAAUAUCAUAGCUCAACAAGUUGUGGGGAAUAAUGUGCAUGAACUCACCAAAGGUGGGAGCUCAUAUGAAGUGUAAGGCUAAUCAACAAAUAAGGGUUAAAGCUAAGCAUUGCUUUUAAUAAGUUGGUCAAAUUUUAUUAGCAGUUACUAAUGUAAGUGGAUACCAAACCAGAGUAAUAAUAGAUCAAAAUUAAUAAUAAAACUUCAAUGCGAUGCAAAUGACAAAUUUAGUUUAAUUCCAUAAAUUAAUCAUGCGAGAGUCCUGAGCUGCUCAUGACCGCGAGCACGGCUAUAUACUAGUUUUACACUCUGCAGAGGUUGUACCCUUUACCCACAAGUCAUGUCACCCAGUUGCCAAGGGGUCUAGAAGUUCCAUUCAUCUCUACUGAGGAGAUGAGUCAGGGUAACACUAUGAGGCCUUUACAAAGUUCCACUAGCUUCAGAAGACCCGCUAUAGUUUCUAGGGAGCGCAAUGCAGGAAUCCCCCGUCUGACCGCCAUCGCAGCAAAAUCAACCCGAGAACCUCCCUACACCGCCAACUCCCCUACUGCCCUUGCCCCUUUCGGGUAAGGUAGACCUCCACUAGCUUUCCUAAUUAGUCAGCCAAGGGCGUCCCAUUCCACCCUUGUGGUGGCACGUGUUUCUCAAGUUAAGCUCCAUGUUCCAAUUAACAUAAUAGCCUUAUCAUGAAUAGAAAUAGAACAAUAAUAAAGAAUGACCAUGUGUAAUAGUUAUCUCAACACCCAAACCACAUAUAGCAAUAACAAAGACUACUCAAAAGUUUAGAGGUAAACAAGGUGUAAAGAUGACCAAACUAGGGUGACCUAUUGGGUCCCAUCAAAAUUAAGCCUAUGCAUGCCAAAAUGAUUAUAGAGAAUAUUAUUGGGUAAAUAAAAGUGGUCAAGGGCACAACUUGCCUUCAAUGAGCUCGUGCUCAGCAACUUCUACCUGCUUAACACCUGGAUCCUUGGUCACUGGUUCGUCUACUCGAAGCAAUACAAACAGACAUGGUAUAGGAGAAAUUAACACCACACCAAACAUGAGUACAAAAUACAUAAUAAUAAUCUAUGCAUCGUAAUGAGAUCAUAGGUUCGAGAGUCACUAAAUUCGGAGAUACGAUUAUCGGGUUACGAUUUUCCGAAGUUAUUAAGUGUUUGGUAUAGAAUAUACUAAGAGAUUAACUUUAACCUAUGUGUCAUGAUAAAACAAAGUUAUUAAAUGAUAAACAAUAUGAAAACAAAAUUAUUGCGACUGGAAUGGAUUAAAAAGGAGAUAAAAUGAAUUUUCUAGGAAUUAAACAAGAUUCUGGAAUUAUUUCUACACUAACAAUCAUUUUUCAUAUUAAUUUCUCUGAUUUUCUAACUCUUUGUACUGUGCGCAUGAAUAUCAGGAAAUUUAGGGGCUGGUUUACAAGAUUCCGGGGCCUGUAUGUAAUUACUUUGCAUAGGGUGUGGACUGCGGGUUGACUCAUUAAAACCCUAGGGGCCCGACUGUAAAAUAUCCCGGCCGAAACGGUAUGAAGGGUUCUCGGCCGUUCGAUCGAUAACUGACAGUGAGGACUAGAUCAUCGGUUGGCUCAAACGGUGAACCAUGGUAACCGUGAGAUCCAGAACUCAUGACCAGGAUUUAAUGAAUCGGGAACCCAUCGCGACCGUUCGCUUACGGAUCUAUGCUACAGGUCAACCCACGUGAAACGUUUUUUUCCGAUCAGAUCUUGUGCAUCCGCUAUGGAUUCAACGGCGCACACCCAUUGUCACUCUCUCGGCCACCGGAGGCGGCGACCAUCAGACAACCACGACGACGGGUUCACCGGAGCAACCCCGAACGGCCACCCUAACCCCAAAGACCUCACCCGGAACAGGCCAAACAUUGCCACGAAGUCGCAGGUUAAUAUAGGGUAACAUACCGGCGAUCGACGGUGCAACAAUCCCCGGCCACGGCGCUCCACGAAACAGCGGCGGUGGAGUGCAACGGCGAGAAAUUCCGUGAGCAUGAGGCCGCCUCCACUCAAUCACCGGCCACCGAGCGGUUCGCUGUGAUGCGCCCGCCACACCCCAACUCAAAUCCUCGGUGUUGACGGCCGCAGGUGGCGACGCGAUUGAUUCCGCCGCGCCCUCUCCCUCCCACGAAUUCACUCUCUUCUCUAUCUCCGAUGUUC